RNAcentral lists this ribosomal RNA (467 nucleotides) under uncultured bacterium. Its description in RNAcentral is "bacterial SSU rRNA". It matches the Rfam family "Bacterial small subunit ribosomal RNA", at positions 29 to 507 of the family's 1533-position model. The record is from RNAcentral.
AAUGAACGUUGGCGGCGUGGAUUAGGCAUGCAAGUCGAGCGACAAGGUCAGUUGGAUCCCUUCGGGGUGAAGCCUGACUGGAGGAGCGGCAAACGGGGUAGUAAUGCGUCGGAACGCACCUACGGGACCGGGAUAGCUGAGGGAAACUUCAGGUAAUACCGGAUAAUCUCUACGGAGCAAAUGGCCAACCGCCUGUGGACCGGCCGACGUGAUACCAGCUUGUUGGUGAGGUAAUGGCUCACCAAGGCUAAGACGUCUAGGGGGUGUGAGAGCAUGGCCCCCACCACUGGGACUGAGACACUGCCCAGACACCUACGGGUGGCUGCAGUCGAGAAUCUUCGGCAAUGGGCGAAAGCCUGACCGAGCGACGCCGCGUGCGGGAUGAAGGCCCUUGGGUUGUAAACCGCUGUCAGGGGGGAGGAAAGGAACUUGACCGAGCCCCAGAGGAAGCACGGGCUAAGUACGUG